ACCGCGACCUGGGCUGCGUGUCCUAAAGAGCCGCUACUCUCAGGACUUUUUCUAAGGCUUGUGGUUGUUUGGGCUUGGUCGGCCUGGUAUUGAAGCCCAUUUGUCUAACCGAGCGAUCUGUCGCUGACUCGUCGAUCCAGUCCAGCCGAGGCGCGGUUGGGGAUCAAGCUUGCGAGGGGAUCCAGCGUGGGAUGGAGGCGAGGCGCUCGAGCGACAGUGAUGGUGGCGAUGGGGUAAGAUCUGCGGCAUGUCUUCGGCGGUCUUGCUCCUCUUUCCCUUUCCCUGCGCCAAGCGAUGGCAAAGAGGAGGAGGCUGCUUCGCCGAUGGCGUAUGGUGGCUGUGCCGGUGGUGUGCGUGGAUUGAGGCCAUGAGCGACGGCUCUGUAACCUAACGCCUCCCUCCGUGUCUCAUCGAUCGGCACACCAUAGGCCUCCCCUCCCCUCUCCCUUCCGCUGGCGCACGAGCACAACAGCAGGCACCUCCGGAUCUCCCUUCCCUCCGCCAGACGGCAGGUGCCCACAAUCCAAAUUUUCUGAUAGCUGAAAUAGGCGGCCAUGGGAGCCAACGCUCGAACUUGGGGAGCCAGAUGCGAUCAGAGGCGCAUAUAGAGAUGAUGAUGAUGAUAACCACCAGGGGCAGUUGAUUGUUUUGGUUUUCCCAGGUCCAAUUGAUUGUUUUGGGCCUGCUGAUGAUGACGUUUUUGGGCCGACAUGAACCUGAUGUUCUUGAUGUGGAUGAUGUAGCAGGCAAUGGCCACACCGGCCAAGGGUCAACAACAUGAGCAAGUGAACCAGACGCUACUAUUGGGGAUGGCUGAGACACUACAAGACAUAUUUUAUCAUAUUAUAGGCUAAUCUUCGCUGUUUGCACAGUUUGUGAUUUAAUCAUUCACCCAACUGGUAGGAUCUGAGUCUGGAGGACUCCAUACCAUGGCAUUUAAUCUUCUUACAUGUUGGAAUUUCCUUGCAACAACUGAUGGUAACGAUUGUCUGGCUAAAUUGGUCGUACUCACAUGAACAAUUAGUCGCACCUUUUCCCUUCAGCUCGCUUCUAAAAUUGACGUCUGCAGAUGAUACCCAAAUUUUGCAGGCUGAUAAAAAGAAGUUACAGUUUAAUCGAAGGGAGAAUGAAAAUUUCAAUAUUGGCAUCCUUAUAUAAGGCCUUCUAUGUCUUUUUUCUAAGGCCACAAACAAGAAAACAUGCAGUCGUCUUAUGGCCGUGGGCUGGAGGGCGGCGUGCAAGGACAACCAAGAAGAUCACAUCCACCUACUUUUGGCUGUUUGUGUCACUCUUCUUUGGUGAAUCAUUCCAAUCAUUUCGUUGAGGCUCUGCAUCCCAUCUGAAUGGGUACAUUACCCAUCCAAAAUCAGAACCUGUUGCUCACUCUACGAUCUAAUAUUAUAACAUUUUGUUCACUUCAUGAUUUGAUGGUACAACAUUUUGCAGAUACCAACAAAAGCAGUGUUUAGUCCAUCGCUGAAUUGUAUUGCCCUUUGCUUCUGGGUAUAGAACUAGAUAUCACAUGGACCUCUCCCUGGAAGCAAGCAAACAUUUUUGACUCGUGAGGUCAAUGGAGCCAAGCUUACAAGUUAAUGUAGGAAAGUUAAUAGGAACUAUACAAAUGAAGUCAGAGUUUAGUUAAAACUUCAUAAACAUUUCUCGUAGCUAAUGUAUUUUGUCUUAUGUACUAUAUCUUGUCGUGUUUUUAUGUAAUUGGGCUCUUUUGUUGUGAAAAAAAAUAGAUGUGUUUUCUCUCUUCUCCUUUCAGUCCAUCAAACUAAUCCAUGAUAUAUAUGUAGUUCUCUCAUGGAUGAGCGACCACCUAAAGGUGUUGUAUAGUUCUUCCAUUCUUCAGUGAAACAUUACAUUGACUUUC
This is a long non-coding RNA of Triticum dicoccoides, 1876 nucleotides long. RefSeq lists it as uncharacterized. The record is from RefSeq and is a predicted model, not a curated record. The transcript is spliced from 4 exons. NCBI's taxonomy places the organism in Eukaryota, Viridiplantae, Streptophyta, Magnoliopsida, Poales, Poaceae.